GCGUGUGUGAAGAAGGCCUUCGGGUUGUAAAGCACUUUCAGUCGUGAGGAAGGUGGUGUAGUUAAUAGCUGCAUUAUUUGACGUUAGCGACAGAAGAAGCACCGGCUAACUCCGUGCCAGCAGCCGCGGUAAUACGGAGGGUGCGAGCGUUAAUCGGAAUUACUGGGCGUAAAGCGCAUGCAGGUGGUUUGUUAAGUCAGAUGUGAAAGCCCGGGGCUCAACCUCGGAAUAGCAUUUGAAACUGGCAGACUAGAGUACUGUAGAGGGGGGUAGAAUUUCAGGUGUAGCGGUGAAAUGCGUAGAGAUCUGAAGGAAUACCGGUGGCGAAGGCGGCCCCCUGGACAGAUACUGACACUCAGAUGCGAAAGCGUGGGGAGCAAACAGGAUUAGAUACCCUGGUAGUCCACGCCGUAAACGAUGUCUACUUGGAGGUUGUGGCCUUGAGCCGUGGCUUUCGGAGCUAACGCGUUAAGUAGACCGCCUGGGGAGUACGGUCGCAAGAUUAAAACUCAAAUGAAUUGACGGGGGCCCGCACAAGCGGUGGAGCAUGUGGUUUAAUUCGAUGCAACGCGAAGAACCUUACCUACUCUUGACAUCCAGAGAACUUUCCAGAGAUGGAUUGGUGCCUUCGGGAACUCUGAGACAGGUGCUGCAUGGCUGUCGUCAGCUCGUGUUGUGAAAUGUUGGGUUAAGUCCCGCAACGAGCGCAACCCUUAUCCUUGUUUGCCAGCGAGUAAUGUCGGGAACUCCAGGGAGACUGCCGGUGAUAAACCGGAGGAAGGUGGGGACGACGUCAAGUCAUCAUGGCCCUUACGAGUAGGGCUACACACGUGCUACAAUGGCGCAUACAGAGGGCAGCAAGCUAGCGAUAGUGAGCGAAUCCCAAAAAGUGCGUCGUAGUCCGGAUUGGAGUCUGCAACUCGACUCCAUGAAGUCGGAAUCGCUAGUAAUCGUGGAUCAGAAUGCCACGGUGAAUACGUUCCCGGGCCUUGUACACACCGCCCGUCACACCAUGGGGAGUGGGCUGCAAAAGAAGUAGGUAG
This 1043-nucleotide ribosomal RNA is filed under the name Vibrio sp. 736M. RNAcentral describes it as "bacterial SSU rRNA". It matches the Rfam family "Bacterial small subunit ribosomal RNA", at positions 399 to 1433 of the family's 1533-position model. The record is from RNAcentral. Lineage: Bacteria; Pseudomonadati; Pseudomonadota; Gammaproteobacteria; Vibrionales; Vibrionaceae.